GCCAGUGUGGUGCAGUGGUUUAAGCAUUGGAUUAUGACUCUGUAGACCAGGGUUCAAAUCACUGCUCAGCCA
RNAcentral lists this transfer RNA (72 nucleotides) under Phrynosoma platyrhinos (Desert horned lizard). Its description in RNAcentral is "tRNA-OTHER". The record is from RNAcentral. Lineage: Eukaryota; Metazoa; Chordata; Lepidosauria; Squamata; Phrynosomatidae.